This 253-nucleotide ribosomal RNA is filed under the name uncultured bacterium. Its description in RNAcentral is "partial 16S ribosomal RNA". It matches the Rfam family "Bacterial small subunit ribosomal RNA", at positions 524 to 776 of the family's 1533-position model. The record is from RNAcentral.
UACGGAGGGGACUAGCGUUGUUCGGAAUUACUGGGCGUAAAGCGCACGUAGGCGGAUUUGUAAGUCAGGGGUGAAAUCCCGGGGCUCAACCCCGGAACUGCCUUUGAUACUGCAAAUCUCGAGUCCGGAAGAGGUGAGUGGAAUUCCUAGUGUAGAGGUGGAAUUCGUAGAUAUUAGGAAGAACACCAGUGGCGAAGGCGGCUCACUGGUCCGGUACUGACGCUGAGGUGCGAAAGCGUGGGGAGCAAACAGG